This 1185-nucleotide ribosomal RNA is filed under the name human gut metagenome. Its description in RNAcentral is "bacterial LSU rRNA". It matches the Rfam family "Bacterial large subunit ribosomal RNA", at positions 1297 to 2532 of the family's 2925-position model. The record is from RNAcentral.
CCGGAAUAAGUAGCGAAAGCAUGGUGAGAAUCCAUGCCAUCGAAAGUCUAAGGUUUCCUGGGGAAGGUUCGUCCGCCCAGGGUAAGUCGGGACCUAAGGUGAGGCCGAAAGGCGUAGCCGAUGGAUAGCAGGUUGAGAUUCCUGCACCACCGAAAUACUUAAAAGAUGUAAGGGACACAGGAGUGGAAGGAAAGCGAGGAAGAGGAAAGACUCGUAUCGAAAGAUAUAGUGAAAAUAGAAAGUAACGAAUUUCCAAGAAGCACACUGGCGAGAAAAGCUUGCAGAUAUUGUAUAGAGGUGCCCGUACCGCAAACCGACACAGGUAGAUGAGGAGAGGAUCCUAAGAUGAGCGAGAGAAGCAUUGUUAAGGAACUCGGCAAACUGACCCCGUAACUUAGGGAGAAGGGGUACUGGGAUAAAACCCAGUCGCAGAGAAUAGUCCCAAGCAACUGUUUAACAAAAACACAGGUUUCUGCUAAAUCGAAAGAUGAAGUAUAGGAGCUGACACCUGCCCAGUGCUGGAAGGUUAAGGGGAAAUGUCAGGAGUAAUCCGAAGCAUAGAACCAAAGCCCCAGUGAACGGCGGCCGUAACUAUAACGGUCCUAAGGUAGCGAAAUUCCUUGUCAGGUAAGUUCUGACCCGCACGAAAGGUGUAAUGAUUUGGGAGCUGUCUCGACAAUGUACUCGGCGAAAUUGUAGUACUAGUGAAGAUGCUAGUUACCUGCGACAAGACAGAAAGACCCCAUGGAGCUUUACUGUAGUUUGAUACUGGGUUUUGAUUAUUUAUGUACAGGAUAGGUGGGAGACAAAGAAGCAUUGGCGCCAGUCGAUGUGGAGUCGCCCUUGGGAUACCACCCUUAAAUGAUUGAAAUUCUAACCAAUAGUCAUAAACUGGCUAGGGGACAAUGUCAGACGGGCAGUUUGACUGGGGCGGUCGCCUCCAAAAGAGUAACGGAGGCGCGCAAAGGUUUCCUCAGCGCGGACAGAAAUCGCGCAAGAGAGUGCAAAGGCAGAAGGAAGCUUAACUGAGAGACUGACAAGUCGACCAGAUACGAAAGUAGGUCUUAGUGAUCCGGUGGUUGUAAGUGGAAAUGCCAUCGCUCAACGGACAAAAGUUACCCUGGGGAUAACAGGCUUAUCUCCCCCAAGAGUUCACAUCGACGGGGAGGUUUGGCACCUCGAUGU